This 302-nucleotide ribosomal RNA is filed under the name uncultured bacterium. RNAcentral's name for it is "partial 16S ribosomal RNA". It matches the Rfam family "Bacterial small subunit ribosomal RNA", at positions 508 to 807 of the family's 1533-position model. The record is from RNAcentral.
GCAGCAGCCGCGGUAAUACAGAGGGUGCGAGCGUUAAUCGGAUUUACUGGGCGUAAAGCGUGCGUAGGCGGCUUUUUAAGUCGGAUGUGAAAUCCCUGAGCUUAACUUAGGAAUUGCAUUCGAUACUGGGAAGCCAGAGUAUGGGAGAGGAUGGUAGAAUUCCAGGUGUAGCGGUGAAAUGCGUAGAGAUCUGGAGGAAUACCGAUGGCGAAGGCAGCCAUCUGGCCUAAUACUGACGCUGAGGUACGAAAGCAUGGGGAGCAAACAGGAUUAGAUACCCCGGUAGUCCCUGUCUCUUAUAC